GACGAACGCUGGCGGCGUGCUUAACACAUGCAAGUCGAACGCUGAAGCUCAGCUUUUGUUGGGUGGAUGAGUGGCGAACGGGUGAGUAACACGUGAGUAACCUGCCUCCUUCUUUGGGAUAACGCCCGGAAACGGGUGCUAAUACUGGAUAUUCACUGGUCUUCGCAUGGGGGUUGGUGGAAAGGGUUUUUCUGGUGGGGGAUGGGCUCGCGGCCUAUCAGCUUGUUGGUGGGGUGAUGGCCUACCAAGGCUUUGACGGGUAGCCGGCCUGAGAGGGUGACCGGUAACAUUGGGACUGAGAUACGGCCCAGACUCCUACGGGAGGCAGCAGUGGGGAAUAUUGCACAAUGGGCGCAAGCCUGAUGCAGCGACGCCGCGUGAGGGAUGGAGGCCUUCGGGUUGUGAACCUCUUUCGCUCAUGGUCAAGCCGCAACAAUGGUUGUGGUGAGGGUAGUGGGUAAAGAAGCGCCGGCUAACUACGUG
RNAcentral lists this ribosomal RNA (483 nucleotides) under uncultured bacterium. Its description in RNAcentral is "partial 16S ribosomal RNA". It matches the Rfam family "Bacterial small subunit ribosomal RNA", at positions 28 to 507 of the family's 1533-position model. The record is from RNAcentral.